CUCAGGUUGAGCUGUCAGCGGGGCUUAGAUGGUGGAAGAGAGCUGGGAGGCGAUGUUUUCUUAAAGCUGCAGAUGAAUUUGAUCCUGCUUAUGCGCGCUGAGUGGGAGGAAGAGACUCCCGCGCUGCCGAGCUGUUUGUUUACGUUCAGCUUCUGAGAGGAUCUGUAGUUUGGACUCUCAUUCUGACGGCACCCAUUCACUGCAGAGGAUCCAUUGCUGAGCAAGUGAUGUAAUGCUACAUUUCCCCAAAUCUGAUGAAGAAACAAACUCUUCUAAAUCUUGGAUGACCUAAGGAGUCUGACUUUGAGCAAAAAUGCUACAUGCUGCGUGAAUCUGUUGCAACAUCAUAAGAGCAUUGACUUUGACUUCACAUCAGAGCAGUGAACACCAGUGUCCAGACGUUCCUUUGAGCCCCGGAUUAAUUUCCAUCAUACUCAGCCGCAUGGAGAAGGUGCCCCAGCUGAGGAACAGAUGACUCGCGCUCUUAACAGGUGCUCAGACACUCAGCAGGCCUCAUGCUUCGGGGGAUCAAAGCGCGGCUGCAGAAACUGCAAGCCCCUGUAAUUGCGUACAAUGAGCUGGCGAGUCGGCCGGUCCAGGUGCUAUUUGAACAGGUGUAUUUGCAUGUCACAAUACAGAUGGCAUAGGCCUUCAUGGCCUUGAUCACGAUUCGAGCACAAUUUAC
Cyprinus carpio carpio is the source of this 685-nucleotide long non-coding RNA. NCBI's taxonomy places the organism in Eukaryota, Metazoa, Chordata, Actinopteri, Cypriniformes, Cyprinidae. The record is from Ensembl.